Molecule: ribosomal RNA, 462 nt
Filed under: uncultured bacterium
Lineage: Bacteria
Description: partial 16S ribosomal RNA
Rfam family: Bacterial small subunit ribosomal RNA
Source: RNAcentral
GAUGAACGCUGACAGAAUGCUUAACACAUGCAAGUCAUUGGCGAAGCUGCGCUUGCGCAGUCUAGCCAAGGCGGACGGGUGAGUAACGCGUAAGGAACUUGCCCUGCAGACAGGGAUAACAGACGGAAACGACUGAUAACACCUGGUAUUGUCAGGCUGGCGCAUGCCGGCCUGAUGAAAGGAGACGCUGCAGGAGAGCCUUGCGUCCUAUUAGCUAGUUGGUGGGGUAACGGCCCACCAAGGCGAUGAGAGGUAGCCGGCCUGAGAGGGUGAACGGCCACAAGGGGACUGAGAUACGGCCCUUACUCCUACGGGAGGCAGCAGUGGGGAAUAUUGGACAAUGGGGGCAACCCUGAUCCAGCAAUUCUGUGUGCACGAAGAAGGUUUUCGGAUUGUAAAGUGCUUUCAGCAGGGAAGAAGAAAGUGACGGUACCUGCAGAAGAAGCGACGGCUAAAUACGUG